Molecule: ribosomal RNA, 145 nt
Filed under: Staphylococcus pseudintermedius
Lineage: Bacteria; Bacillati; Bacillota; Bacilli; Caryophanales; Staphylococcaceae
Description: partial 16S ribosomal RNA
Rfam family: Bacterial small subunit ribosomal RNA
Source: RNAcentral
UCACACCACGAGAGUUUGUAACACCCGAAGCCGGUGGAGUAACCAUUUUGGAGCUAGCCGUCGAAGGUGGGACAAAUGAUUGGGGUGAAGUCGUAACAAGGUAGCCGUAUCGGAAGGUGCGGCUGGAUCACCUCCUUUCUAAGGA